Xiphophorus hellerii (green swordtail) is the source of this 574-nucleotide long non-coding RNA. RefSeq lists it as uncharacterized. The transcript is spliced from 2 exons. The record is from RefSeq and is a predicted model, not a curated record. Lineage: Eukaryota; Metazoa; Chordata; Actinopteri; Cyprinodontiformes; Poeciliidae.
UGCAAAUGUCUCUCCAUUUUUUUAUUUUUUUGGGAGGGGAGGGGGGGUGGGGGUCAAUUCUAGACUUUUCCAAGAUUGGGGGUGGUCCGGACCCCCUUGGACCCCCCGGGAUUUACGCCUAUGCGUAGACGCCUCAUUGAGCGCUGAGUCCUACGUUACGUCACCGCCAUCUUGUAGCGGUCGGAGCUCCCAAGUCAUGCGCAGUGUGGGCUUGUUUCAACCGUUUUACAAAACUGGAUUCAUUGUCAUUACCUUUCACAGCUUUAGCCUGAGUACCAGGACAUCUCAGAACUCAUUGGACUUCUCCCAGUUUGGCCAGCAGACUGAACCUCCUGCCUGUGGCCAGUGUUACCAGUAUAAUAUAAAUGAAUAAAUUUGUGUUUUAUUCCACACUUUUAUUCUUUCACUUUUUGUGUAUUCUUAAGAGAAAUAGCUCAAUCUGAAGUAUUAGUAUAUUAAGACAACUUAUGUAAUGAAAUAAAAAUAAUUUACUCUGUUAGAAUAUUUUCACUCUGUCUUUGCUGUCCAUAGCAGAGUUGAGUUGUACUGUAAUAUUUUUUUCUGAAAAAAGUAA